GCCGACGUAGCUCAACGGCAGAGCAACUGUUUUGUAAACAGUCGGUUGGGGGUUCGAUUCCCUUCGUCGGCU
RNAcentral lists this transfer RNA (72 nucleotides) under Candidatus Chlorohelix allophototropha. RNAcentral describes it as "tRNA-Thr". It matches the Rfam family "tRNA". From Rfam's summary of the family: Transfer RNA (tRNA) molecules are approximately 80 nucleotides in length. The record is from RNAcentral. Lineage: Bacteria; Bacillati; Chloroflexota; Chloroflexia; Candidatus Chloroheliales; Candidatus Chloroheliaceae. RNAcentral also lists the same sequence under 1 other name.